AAUAGUGGAGAAAUGACAGAGAAGUUAUAUUUGAAGAGAUGAUAGCUAAAUAAAUGUUUUUCCAGAAUUAGAGAAAGAUAUACAAUUUAAUUUACAUUAUAGUGAAGCUUCAGAACAUCAAGGGUAAGGGGAAAAUUCUAAAAGCAACAAGAUAAAAAAGACAGAUUACCUAAAAUGACAGAUGAUUUGUCAUAGUAGAGUCUAGAAGAAAAUGGAGCAAGAUCUUCAGAAUGGUGAAGAAUAUACAGUCUUCAUUAUGUGUGAAUUCACCUACUAAAAUUUAUUUUUGUCCCGCAAAUCAAUACUCACAGUGCUAUCAUAGUCAUUUGUGGACAUGCACAGAGAAGCUGAACAUUUGAGUCACGCAAUAUACACGUUCCCAGCUGAGGUCAGACAAGUGGGAAGAUCUGUAAUUUAUUUCCAGCAAACAUCAGGCUAUGGAGACCUCAGGUCCAGUGUGCAGUGAUGGGUGUUCACUUGUGAAUUGGAGCAUUCUUCUUAAGACUUCAAGGAAUACUUGUAACAAAACAGGCUGCAUUUGGAAGUAUUGUGAAGAGAGGUCCCAAAUAAUCAAAAUUAAAGAGAGAGUAUGAGCCAGGAGAAGGGCAGAGAGAGAGAGAGAGAGAGGGAGAGAGAG
Felis catus (domestic cat) is the source of this 637-nucleotide long non-coding RNA. RefSeq lists it as uncharacterized. NCBI's taxonomy places the organism in Eukaryota, Metazoa, Chordata, Mammalia, Carnivora, Felidae. The record is from RefSeq and is a predicted model, not a curated record. The transcript is spliced from 4 exons.